ACUCCUACGGGAGGCAGCAGUGGGGAAUAUUGCACAAUGGGCGCAAGCCUGAUGCAGCCAUGCCGCGUGUAUGAAGAAGGCCUUCGGGUUGUAAAGUACUUUCAGCAGUGAGGAAGGGUGGGUGUAGUUAAUNGCAUACUUCAUUGACGUUAGCUGCAGAAGAAGCACCGGCUAACUCCGUGCCAGCAGCCGCGGUAAUACGGAGGGUGCGAGCGUUAAUCGGAAUUACUGGGCGUAAAGCGCAUGCAGGUGGUUUGUUAAGUCAGAUGUGAAAGCCCGGGGCUCAACCUCGGAAUUGCAUUUGAAACUGGCAAACUAGAGUACUGUAGAGGGGGGUAGAAUUUCAGGUGUAGCGGUGAAAUGCGUAGAGAUCUGAAGGAAUACCGGUGGCGAAGGCGGCCCCCUGGACAGAUACUGACACUCAGAUGCGAAAGCGUGGGGAGCAAACA
RNAcentral lists this ribosomal RNA (449 nucleotides) under uncultured bacterium. RNAcentral describes it as "bacterial SSU rRNA". It matches the Rfam family "Bacterial small subunit ribosomal RNA", at positions 335 to 774 of the family's 1533-position model. The record is from RNAcentral.